CCUGCUCUGAUGUUCAGACUUAUUAAUGAAACUCCAAGUAAAAGUAAACCCUAAGAAUUUCUUCGUUAAUGUUGUUAUCCUCUGUGUUUCCCUUAGCUUUAUCGUCACAUUAAAUAAUUCAAUCUUCAGAGAAUCGAAGUAACAUUAUUAAUUUCAAAAUAAAAGGGACACUAUAUGUCUAAGUCAACUGGUAUCGUAAAGUGGUUUAACGAAGAGAAAGGUUUUGGUUUCAUUACUCAAGACAACGGCGGUGCUGACGUAUUCGUUCACUUCCGUUCAAUUGCUUCAGAAGGUUUCAAAACUCUUUCUGAAGGCCAAAAAGUAUCUUUCGAUGUAGAGCAAGGUCAAAAAGGCCCUCAAGCAGCUAACGUUGUUGCUCUAUAAUUGAGAUUUUGGCGUAAGUGGAUAACCCACUUACGCCAACU
Molecule: small RNA, 425 nt
Filed under: Photobacterium ganghwense
Lineage: Bacteria; Pseudomonadati; Pseudomonadota; Gammaproteobacteria; Vibrionales; Vibrionaceae
Description: cspA thermoregulator
Rfam family: cspA thermoregulator
Source: Rfam by way of RNAcentral